RNAcentral lists this transfer RNA (72 nucleotides) under Chlorotetraedron incus. RNAcentral's name for it is "tRNA-Gln". It matches the Rfam family "tRNA". From Rfam's summary of the family: Transfer RNA (tRNA) molecules are approximately 80 nucleotides in length. Their secondary structure includes four short double-helical elements and three loops (D, anti-codon, and T loops). The record is from RNAcentral. Lineage: Eukaryota; Viridiplantae; Chlorophyta; Chlorophyceae; Sphaeropleales; Neochloridaceae.
UGGGGCGUCGCCAAGUGGUAAGGCAGCGGUUUUUGGCACCGCCAUUCGUAGGUUCGAGUCCUUCCGCCCCAG